Caenorhabditis elegans is the source of this 132-nucleotide non-coding RNA. The record is from Ensembl. Lineage: Eukaryota; Metazoa; Nematoda; Chromadorea; Rhabditida; Rhabditidae.
ACAUCUGAUGUCAAAAUGUAGCAAGAAAAAAAAACAAAUUGGAGGAGUGCCGCCGAGGUGUUCAGACACACACAACUGGUUAGAGGACCAACCAAAAAAUGCGGCUUUCAUUCUUUUCUUAUUUAUAUAACA